RNAcentral lists this long non-coding RNA (329 nucleotides) under Capsella rubella. Its description in RNAcentral is "long non-coding RNA (CRUB_LNC003798)". The record is from RNAcentral. Lineage: Eukaryota; Viridiplantae; Streptophyta; Magnoliopsida; Brassicales; Brassicaceae.
UAAUCUGGCAUACAACGUCCACAUUGGUCGAGUUGAAGAACCUGUUUCAAAAAGGGCGAAUGUGGACUUUAGUUACAACGUACAUCUUAAGGUCAUCUUACACACGAAGAACUUUAUCUUAAGUAUGACAGGAUAACAUGAUUCACUCCUUUCAGUGUCAUUAUUUUCCAGGAAUGGUCAGAGAAACUCACAUACAGUUCACUAUCCAAUAUAAGUCAAUUAACUACAAGAAUAAAAUGGUACUGAAAAUGUUGUCUUGACCAAAACAACAAAUAAAUAUUCACCUAAAUGCAAUAUCUGAUGUUGUAUUAAAUAAAAACUGAAACUGU